RNAcentral lists this ribosomal RNA (1100 nucleotides) under uncultured bacterium. Its description in RNAcentral is "bacterial SSU rRNA". It matches the Rfam family "Bacterial small subunit ribosomal RNA", at positions 29 to 1178 of the family's 1533-position model. The record is from RNAcentral.
AUGAACGCUGGCGGCGUGCCUAAGACAUUGCAAGUCGAGUGGGUUUAGACCCACGGCGAACGGGUGAGUAAUAUCCUAGAGAACUUCCCUUUAGUUGAGCAUAACCCAUCGAAAGGUGGGAUAAUUCUCGAUGUGACCGCAAGGUUAAAGUUCGCAAGACGCUAAAGAAAAGGCCUGGGCACCAUCAGCUAGUUGGUAAGGUAAAGGCUUACCAAGGCUAUGACGGUUAGGGGCCCCGAGAGGGGAAACCUCCACACUGGAACUGCGAUCACGGUCCAGACUCCUACGGGAGGCAGCAGUUUGGAAUUUUGGACAAUGGGCGAAAGUCUGAUCCAGCGACGCCGCGUGGACGAUGAAGGCCUUCGGGUUGUAAAGUCCUUUUGUUAGGGAAGAAUUUUUGACUGUACCAUAGCGAAUAAGAGGUUGCUAACUCUGUGCCAGCAGCAGCGGUAAUACAGAGACCUCAAGCGUUAUCCGGAAUCAUUGGGCGUAAAGCGUACCGAUAGGUGGUUUAGAUAGUCAGAUGUGAAAUUCCAAGGCUCAACCUUGGGACUGUCAUUUGAAACUUCUAGACUAGAGGGGCAAAGAGGAAGCUGGAACGAACGGUGUAGUAGUGAAAUGCGUUGAUAUCGUUCGGAACACCAAUAGCGAAGGCAGGCUUCUGGGUGCCACCUGACACUGCUAGGACGAAAGCGUGGGGAGCGAAGGGGAUUAAAUACCCCCGUAGUCCACGCUGUAAACGAUGUACAUUUGGUACUAGGGAGUAUCGACCCUCUUUAGUACCAAAGCUAACGCGUUAAAUGUACCGCCUGGGGAGUACGCUCGCAAGGCUAAAACUCAAAGGAAUUGACGGGGACCCGCACAAGCGGUGGAGCAUGCGGUUUAAUUCGAUGGUAAGCGAGGAACCUUACCAAGGCUUGACAUGUACCUGCAUAUGUUAGAAAUAGCAUAGCCUUCGAGGGUGGUACACAGGUGCUGCACGGUUGUCGUCAGCUCGUGCCGUGAGGUGUUCACUUAAGUGUGAAAACGAGCGCAACCCCUAUCAUGAGUUACAAGUGUCUCAUGAAACUGCCCGGCGUUUAAGCCGGAGGAAGGCGGGG